UAGGGAAUCUUCCACAAUGGACGAAAGUCUGAUGGAGCAACGCCGCGUGAGUGAAGAAGGGUUUCGGCUCGUAAAACUCUGUUGUUAAAGAAGAACAUAUCUGAGAGUAACUGUUCAGGUAUUGACGGUAUUUAACCAGAAGGCCACGGCUAACUACGUCCCAG
Molecule: ribosomal RNA, 164 nt
Filed under: uncultured bacterium
Lineage: Bacteria
Description: partial 16S ribosomal RNA
Rfam family: Bacterial small subunit ribosomal RNA
Source: RNAcentral